AGGAUUAGAUAGCCUGGUAGUCCACGCCGUAAACGGUGGGAACUAGUUGUAGGGGCCAUUCCACGGCUUCUGUGACGAAGCUAACGCAUUAAGUUCCCCGCCUGGGGAGUACGGUCGCAAGACUAAAACUCAAAGGAAUUGACGGGGGCCCGCACAAGCGGCGGAGCAUGCGGAUUAAUUCGAUGCAACGCGAAGAACCUUACCAAGGCUUGACAUAUAGAGGAAACGUGCAGAGAUGUACGCCCCGCAAGGCCUCUAUACAGGUGGUGCAUGGUUGUCGUCAGCUCGUGUCGUGAGAUGUUGGGUUAUGUCCCGCAACGAGCGCAACCCUCGUCCUAUGUUGCCAGCACGUAAUGGUGGGAACUCAUGGGAGACUGCCGGGGUCAACUCGGAGGAAGGUGGGGAUGACGUCAAAUCAUCAUGCCCCUUAUGUCUUGGGCUUCACGCAUGCUACAAUGGCCGGUACAAAGGGUUGCGAUACCGCAAGGUGGAGCUAAUCCCAAAAAGCCGGUCUCAGUUCGGAUUGGGGUCUGCAACUCGACCCCAUGAGAGUUGGAGUCGCUAGUAAUCGCAGAUCAGCAACGCUGCGGUGAAUACGUUCCCGGGCCUUGUACACACCGCCCGUCAAGUCAUGAAAGUCAGUAACACCCGAAGCCGGUGGCCUACCUUUUGGAGGGAGCCGUCGAA
Molecule: ribosomal RNA, 687 nt
Filed under: uncultured Actinomycetes bacterium
Lineage: Bacteria; Bacillati; Actinomycetota; Actinomycetes
Description: bacterial SSU rRNA
Rfam family: Bacterial small subunit ribosomal RNA
Source: RNAcentral